Molecule: long non-coding RNA, 746 nt
Organism: Mercurialis annua (annual mercury)
Lineage: Eukaryota; Viridiplantae; Streptophyta; Magnoliopsida; Malpighiales; Euphorbiaceae
Exons: 3
Source: RefSeq, a predicted model, not a curated record
UUUCGGUCCAACCAGAAUUGGUUGGACCAGGUCUCGUUGAACCGAGACCUGGUCUCGUACGAGACCUGUUCUUUGUUAGCAGGUCUCGUACGAGACCUGCUAACGGGAAUCAAGGGGGCAGUUUUGCCCCCUGAUUUCUCGAGAUUGCUUGCGUUUUUAAAACUCGUUUUCUAAAUCAAAAUUCUUCACCACACAUCAGUCUAGCCCUAGCCGCCUUCCUCAUUCAAUUUCGCUGAGAAUCCUUUCCGAAAUCAUCAACCAAAGUUUGUCAAAAAAUCAUCGGUUCCGCUUCCUUCCAGAGAUAGAAGACUCGUGUAUCUACAAAUCCCAAUUUUUGUUUCGUCAAACGUCGUUCGGAGGUCGAAAUCAAUUCUGUUUGAUUCCCGUGAAAGUAGACUCACGCAUCUACGUUUCUACACCUUUCGUUCGUCAAACGGUACGUAAACGAACCCGUAACAAUCGCCGCCAUCUUAUCGUAUUUCAUUGAUUAAAAACUAUUUUUCUUUUGGAAUUGAUACUGCUGAUUUCAUUAAGCCAUUUAGCUAUGGGUUUGUUUCCUUUUGGGGUUAUGAUUAUGCUAGAGUAUGAAUAUAAACUUGGGUGUAAAAUCAUUAAACUCUUAACUAAUGUUUAUUUUUCGGUUUCAUGAUUCAUCGUUUUCUUGUUAUCCCGGUUUUAAAGUUUCUGAAACUAGAUCCUUUGAUUUCAGAUUCUUCCUUUUGUUGGCAAUGACUCUUAUGAUUUGA